UGGGGAAUAUUGCUCAAUGGGCGCAAGCCUGAUGCAGCAACGCCGCGUGAACGAUGAAGGUCUUCGGAUCGUAAAGUUCUGUUGCAGGGGAAGAUAAUGACGGUACCCUGUGAGGAAGCCCCGGCUAACUACGUGCCAGCAGCCGCGGUAAUACGUAGGGGGCUAGCGUUAUCCGGAUUUACUGGGCGUAAAGGGUGCGUAGGUGGUCUUUCAAGUCGGUGGUUAAAGGCUACGGCUCAACCGUAGUUAGCCUCCGAAACUGGAAGACUUGAGUGCAGGAGAGGAAAGUGGAAUUCCCAGUGUAGCGGUGAAAUGCGUAGAUAUUGGGAGGAACACCAGUAGCGAAGGCGGCUUUCUGGACUGCAACUGACACUGAGGCACGAAAGCGUGGGUAGCAAACAGG
RNAcentral lists this ribosomal RNA (403 nucleotides) under Verrucomicrobiota bacterium. RNAcentral describes it as "Verrucomicrobia bacterium partial 16S ribosomal RNA". It matches the Rfam family "Bacterial small subunit ribosomal RNA", at positions 355 to 776 of the family's 1533-position model. The record is from RNAcentral. Lineage: Bacteria; Pseudomonadati; Verrucomicrobiota.